GAUGAAGAACGUAGCGAAAUGCGAUAAGUAAUGCGAAUUGCAGAAUCCGUGAGUCAUAGAAUCUUUGAACGCACAUUGCGCCCUCUGGUAUUCCGGGGGGCAUGCCUGUUCGAGCGUCAUUAUCACCUCUCAAGCGCUGGCUUGGUGUUGGACCGCUGGGUCGUCCCCUCCGGACAGACCGGUCUGAAAGACAAUGACGGCGUCUCCAGGACCCUCGGUGCAAUGAGCUCCUGUUUACAGAGCACGCACCGUAGUGGCCUCGGGUCCCAUCCACCUCUAUUAUUUUUUCAGGUUGACCUCGGAUCAGGUAGGGAUACCCGCUGAACUUAAGCAUAUCAAUAAGCGGAGGA
RNAcentral lists this unclassified non-coding RNA (350 nucleotides) under soil metagenome. RNAcentral's name for it is "partial contains 5.8S ribosomal RNA, internal transcribed spacer 2, and large subunit ribosomal RNA". The stretch from base 1 to 119 matches the Rfam family "5.8S ribosomal RNA", at positions 35 to 154 of the family's 154-position model. The record is from RNAcentral.